GACGAACGCUGGCGGCGUGCUUAACACAUGCAAGUCGAACGAAGAGCGAUGGAAGCUUGCUUCUAUCAAUCUUAGUGGCGAACGGGUGAGUAACGCGUAAUCAACCUGCCCUUCAGAGGGGGACAACAGUUGGAAACGACUGCUAAUACCGCAUACGAUCUAAUCUCGGCAUCGAGGAUAGAUGAAAGGUGGCCUCUACAUGUAAGCUAUCACUGGAGGAGGGGAGUGCGUGUGGUUAGCUAGGUGGAGGGGGAACGGCCCACCAAGGCGAUGGUGAGUAGCCGGUCUUGAGGGGUGGACGGCCACAUUGGGACUGGGACCCGGCCCCGGCUCCUACGGGGGGCAGCCGUGGGGGAUCUUCCGCAAUGGACGAAAGUCUGGCUGCGCAACGCCGCGUGGGUGAUGGCGGCCUUCGGGUUGUAAAGCUCUGUUAAUCGGGACGAAAGGCCUUCUUGCGAAUAGUGCGAAGGAUUGACGGUACCGGAAGAGAAAGCCACGGCUAACUACGUG
Molecule: ribosomal RNA, 510 nt
Filed under: uncultured bacterium
Lineage: Bacteria
Description: partial 16S ribosomal RNA
Rfam family: Bacterial small subunit ribosomal RNA
Source: RNAcentral